Molecule: ribosomal RNA, 253 nt
Filed under: uncultured bacterium
Lineage: Bacteria
Description: partial 16S ribosomal RNA
Rfam family: Bacterial small subunit ribosomal RNA
Source: RNAcentral
UACCGAGGUCUCGAGCGUUCGGCGGAAUCACUGGGCUUAAAGCGUGUGUAGGCGGAUCGGUAAGUACCUUGUGAAAUCCCACAGCUUAACUGUGGAACUGCUUGGUAUACUGCCAGUCUUGAGCCAGCUAGGGGCUACCGGAACAAAUGGUGGAGCGGUGAAAUGCGUAGAUAUCAUUUGGAACGCCAAUGGUGAAAACAGGUAGCUGGGGCUGUGCUGACGCUGAGACACGAAAGCCAGGGGAGCGAACGGG